RNAcentral lists this small RNA (28 nucleotides) under Bombyx mori (domestic silkworm). RNAcentral's name for it is "ovarian small RNA-13625". Lineage: Eukaryota; Metazoa; Arthropoda; Insecta; Lepidoptera; Bombycidae. The record is from RNAcentral.
CCCACGGUAUGAUGGGGCUAACGGCGGA